RNAcentral lists this ribosomal RNA (717 nucleotides) under Triticum aestivum (bread wheat). RNAcentral's name for it is "partial small subunit ribosomal RNA". Lineage: Eukaryota; Viridiplantae; Streptophyta; Magnoliopsida; Poales; Poaceae. The record is from RNAcentral.
AUGCAGAUCACGCCCCUCGCCACGUGCCCCAUGUAUGCGGCCACAUGUCCGAGACUCGCUCCACCGCCUUCGUCCACACUCUCACCCACAUCGCAUCUUAUAUACCACGAUCCAUCUCGGCGAGAAACCCACCGCGCAUUUGGCUAUCGCAUUUCUCAGGUGAGGCUCAGGUUCCGGAGUAGCGAAGCUUCAAGUGCGCAUCUGGGUACCGGCAUGGCUGGAGAGCAGGCGUUCCACCGGGGAGGCGUGCACGGAGGCGGCAGCGCCAUCGGGCCGGACUACAUGCGGGCCAUCCGCGGCGACGACGACUACUACGGCGGGCACGGCCAGGGCCACAGCCAGCCGGCGGCCGUCACCCUCGCGAAGGGGGUGGCCGCGGCGGCGGCGGCGGGGUCGAUGCUGCUCCUGUCGGCCCUGACGCUGACGGGCACGGUGCUGGCGCUGAUCGUGGCGACGCCGCUGCUGGUGCUCUUCAGCCCCGUGCUGGUGCCCGCGGCCAUCGCCGCCACGGUGCUGACGGCCGGGUUCGUCUCGUCGGGGGCGUUCGGCGCGGCGGCGGUGGGGGUGCUGGCGUGGAUGUACAAGUACCUGUCGCACGGGGCGUCCUCGCCGCCGGGGGCCGACACGGUGGACCACGCGGGCGCGAAGCUGGACUCCAAGGCGCACGAGGUGAAGAACUGGGCGCAGCAUCGCCUCGACCAGGCACGAACGCCGUAG